CCCCUGUUUUAUCUUCUCUUUCACCCUCAUCUCUCACCACCGUCCGCCGCCCAUCGGAAAUCGCCAGUAGUGGCGGUUGAUCUCCAAACCCCCUCAAAUCUUGACUAUAUAACUGUCAUUGCCCCUCCAUUCCAAAUCCACCCUUGUUUCCUCCCCCAAACCACUGGUCUUCUCCGAAUUAGAGAUCUAAGAGAUCAAUAAAAUCCUCUUCACCCUUUUUCUUUUGAUAUCUGCCCAAUCUAGCCUCUUCUUGGUGUUGAACAUAUGUGAAUCGACCAGCUUCGAGUGAAAAGCCAAUUGGCUGAGGGUUCGUUUGGUGCAUGGUGGUUGAGUUUGGUUAACAAUCUCCAAUGGGCAAUUAUUUCUGUUUCUUCUUCGUUCUUGACUCGUGAUGGGGACUGAGACGAAGAGCACAAGCCAUUGAAUAAACUUCGGCUAGUGCUCAAUGUUACAGUUCACACCAUGGGGUUGAGGUUCUUCACGCCGGAUUCCCUUACCUUUGAGCCAUCGAUCUAGCCAGUAUACUUCUAUUCCUCUUCAUCUCAGUUGGAUUUAGAAAACAUAGGUUUUUCAGUCGAUUUAUUCGGUAAUAAUAGGUCAAGAAGCACAGUUAAUCUCUUUGUUAGCAUUUGUUAAUUUUCUUCUUUCCUUUUACUUCUUCUCUUUUAUUCUGCUUCGUUAGAAGAUCUGAUUCAGAAUAGGGUUAGUUUGGACUUUCUUGUGAAUUCAUCUGCUUAGACUUGAACCUGGGCUUGCUAGCGCAAGAAGCCCAAAGAGCUUGUUGAAUUUCGUUGGUGCAGAAGCCAAAGAAAUGUUGGGGUUUGUCAAUUCAGAAGCCCAAAGGCAUUUUGGUCAUUUUCGUUCAAAUGACUCGCAGGGCUAAGGUAAUUGGAAAGCUUAGAGAGGGUAGUUAGGGGAUUUGGUUAUAAAGAAUCUUUGAUAACUAUCUGAAAUGAAAAGAUGAAAAUUGAAGAGGGGAGGGUAGUGAAUGAAUAAAAUUAAGUUUUUUUGCCUAAACUCUAACUAUAAAAGGGCUCACUCCCUUCAUUUUCUGGAAGAGAUCAGAAUACCAAAAGCUAGCAAACGGCUGAAAUACACAUACAAUGCUAGAGUUUUAGAUUUAGGAAGAAAAAAACAAAACAAAAAAAGAAAAAUCCUUCAAAUACUAUUCCAUUGCAGCUAGUUUUGAUCUUUCUUGGUUUUUAAAAAAGCUUGAGUACACUACUAUUCUUUUUCUGGGUUCAAAACAUGAGAAGCUGAUUGAUAGUUGUUGUUUUAAAGAUUUGCUGAUAUUACCAUUGCUUGCUGAUGUUCUGUGGUUUUUUUUUGGUUUAUAUCCAGGUACUUCUUUUGAACCCUGAAUGGAAACUAGAAUGUGAGCGUGUUUGUAUGGAAGGUGUACUCAUGCUGAAAAUAAUGGGUAUUCACGUUGAUAUGUUUUGAUUUUUUACUCUGAAAUAGAAUCACGCUAUGUUGAAUUAUGCUGCCAUUUCAUUUGAGUAUUAAGUUUAAGAUUUUGUUUAAUUCUUCAUAGUUCUAUGGAUGUACAGAUUCAUUUGUUUCUUCUUUCAUCUCAUUGGUAGUGUUGUUUGGAUUUUCACCAUCUG
This 1607-nucleotide long non-coding RNA is filed under the name Nicotiana tabacum (common tobacco). RNAcentral's name for it is "long non-coding RNA (NTAB_LNC016639)". The record is from RNAcentral. Lineage: Eukaryota; Viridiplantae; Streptophyta; Magnoliopsida; Solanales; Solanaceae.